This 201-nucleotide long non-coding RNA is filed under the name Capsicum annuum. Its description in RNAcentral is "long non-coding RNA (CANN_LNC000624)". The record is from RNAcentral. Lineage: Eukaryota; Viridiplantae; Streptophyta; Magnoliopsida; Solanales; Solanaceae.
GCCCAGUUAUCCUGCAUGUCCUAUGUAUUGUAGAGCCCAUCCCAGAGAGUUCUUGGCAAAAGCAAAAGUGUUGUUUUGGUUGUGGCAAGUUGGGCCAUAUAUUUAGAGAGUGCCCGUAUACUAGGCAGGGGAGCCGAGAUGUUCGACCCCAGACUCAGGCUACCAUUGCACUAGCUCCUUUAGCUCGUCCAUCCCCUCCCC